UCCGAACCCACUUCAGUUAAAAAUGGAGGGGAUGAGCUGUGGAUAGGGGUGAAAGGCUAAACAAACUCGGAGAUAGCUGGUUCUCCCCGAAAGCUAUUUAGGUAGCGCCUCGGACGAAUACCAUUGGGGGUAGAGCACUGUUUCGGCUAGGGGGUCAUCCCGACUUACCAACCCUUUGCAAACUCCGAAUACCCAUGAGUGCUAUCCGGGAGACACACGGCGGGUGCUAACGUCCGUCGUG
RNAcentral lists this ribosomal RNA (241 nucleotides) under Thalassiosira minuscula. RNAcentral's name for it is "partial Bacterial large subunit ribosomal RNA". It matches the Rfam family "Bacterial large subunit ribosomal RNA", at positions 773 to 1012 of the family's 2925-position model. Lineage: Eukaryota; Bacillariophyta; Thalassiosirophyceae; Thalassiosirales; Thalassiosiraceae. The record is from RNAcentral.